Molecule: long non-coding RNA, 272 nt
Filed under: Nicotiana benthamiana
Lineage: Eukaryota; Viridiplantae; Streptophyta; Magnoliopsida; Solanales; Solanaceae
Description: long non-coding RNA (NBEN_LNC004209)
Source: RNAcentral
CCUAUCUAGCAGCAACAACUUCAGGUUCUAGGUCACUUGGCUCCCUAAAAAUAUCCUCAUCAGAACCAUAUAAUGACUCAUCUAUAUCAUGAUCAACAUCACCUUCAGAAAUAGCCGCAUAAUCUUUAUCACUCUCAAGACUAACUCAUGACCCUCAACAGCACCCUCAGCAUCACCCUCAGAAUCUUUUGCUAGAUGAAAGGUAUGAAGUCAUCUUCAUCUUCACUAAAAUCUUUUGUUGGAGAAGAACUUUCAGUAGAAGAAGAACUUAC